GGGUCAGUAGGUUGGUCGUGCCACCGGUACGUACUGGUCUCACUGAUUCCUCCUCCCUGGAGAACCGUAAUGCCAUUAAUUUGGUGUUGCGGGGAAACAGGACUGUUACUUUGAAAAAAUUAGAGUGUUCAAAGCAAGCUAACGCUUGAAUACAUUAGCAUGGAAUAAUGAAAUAGGACGAUCGGUCCUAUUUUGUUGGUUUCUAGGAUUGACGUA
Molecule: ribosomal RNA, 216 nt
Filed under: Glomeromycotina sp.
Lineage: Eukaryota; Fungi; Glomeromycota
Description: partial small subunit ribosomal RNA
Rfam family: Eukaryotic small subunit ribosomal RNA (bases 75-216)
Source: RNAcentral